Molecule: ribosomal RNA, 723 nt
Filed under: Bacillus stratosphericus
Lineage: Bacteria; Bacillati; Bacillota; Bacilli; Caryophanales; Bacillaceae
Description: bacterial SSU rRNA
Rfam family: Bacterial small subunit ribosomal RNA
Source: RNAcentral
AAGGUAGGAGUAAUCCUUGAACCGCAGGGUUCAAGGAUGAAAGACGGUUUCGGCUGUCACUUACAGAUGGACCCGCGGCGCAUUAGCUAGUUGGUGAGGUAACGGCUCACCAAGGCGACGAUGCGUAGCCGACCUGAGAGGGUGAUCGGCCACACUGGGACUGAGACACGGCCCAGACUCCUACGGGAGGCAGCAGUAGGGAAUCUUCCGCAAUGGACGAAAGUCUGACGGAGCAACGCCGCGUGAGUGAUGAAGGUUUUCGGAUCGUAAAGCUCUGUUGUUAGGGAAGAACAAGUGCAAGAGUAACUGCUUGCACCUUGACGGUACCUAACCAGAAAGCCACGGCUAACUACGUGCCAGCAGCCGCGGUAAUACGUAGGUGGCAAGCGUUGUCCGGAAUUAUUGGGCGUAAAGGGCUCGCAGGCGGUUUCUUAAGUCUGAUGUGAAAGCCCCCGGCUCAACCGGGGAGGGUCAUUGGAAACUGGGAAACUUGAGUGCAGAAGAGGAGAGUGGAAUUCCACGUGUAGCGGUGAAAUGCGUAGAGAUGUGGAGGAACACCAGUGGCGAAGGCGACUCUCUGGUCUGUAACUGACGCUGAGGAGCGAAAGCGUGGGGAGCGAACAGGAUUAGAUACCCUGGUAGUCCACGCCGUAAACGAUGAGUGCUAAGUGUUAGGGGGUUUCCGCCCCUUAGUGCUGCAGCUAACGCAUUAAGCACUCCCGC